This 385-nucleotide ribosomal RNA is filed under the name uncultured soil bacterium. RNAcentral's name for it is "bacterial SSU rRNA". It matches the Rfam family "Bacterial small subunit ribosomal RNA", at positions 26 to 392 of the family's 1533-position model. The record is from RNAcentral.
AGAUUGAACGCUGGCGGCAUGCCUAACACAUGCAAGUCGAACGGGAGUAGCAAUACUCUAGUGGCGGACGGGUGAGGAAUACGUAGGAAUUUGCCCUUAAGUGGGGGAUAACCCGGGGAAACCCGGAUUAAUACCGCAUGACCUCGAAAGAGCAGAGUGGGGAUCGCAAGACCUCGACGCUUUUUGGAGAAGCCUACGUCGGAUUAGCUAGUUGGUGAGGUAAUGGCUCGACCAAGGCGACGAUCCGUAACUGGUCUGAGAGGAUGAUCAGUCACGCCGGAACUGAGACGACGGUCCGGACCUCCGACGGGAGGCAGCAGGUGGGGAAUAGUUGGACGAAGUGGGACGACAAGCCUUAGACUCCAGACAAGUUCGCCGACGUCGU